This 217-nucleotide non-coding RNA is filed under the name Aneurinibacillus migulanus. Its description in RNAcentral is "T-box sequence". It matches the Rfam family "T-box leader". Rfam says of the family: Uncharged tRNA acts as the effector for transcription antitermination of genes in the T-box leader family. T-boxes are found upstream of many aminoacyl-tRNA synthetase genes and some amino acid biosynthetic genes usually in Gram-positive bacteria. The record is from RNAcentral. Lineage: Bacteria; Bacillati; Bacillota; Bacilli; Caryophanales; Paenibacillaceae.
AUAAAGGCAAUGACGAAGAAGAGUAAGCAGAUCGAGACGUUACAGAGAGCCGGGGAAGCUGGAAUCCCGGUACGUACUCCCUGACUGAAUGGACUUCCGAGCUCCCUGUCGAACGUGCAUAUCAGUAGACAGUGGCGGGCUUCCCUCCGUUAUACGGGAGUAAGCGAACCGGCGAUUACGGUUAAUUAGGGUGGCACCACGGUCCCUCGUCCCUUGC